AUCAGCUUGGAGUGGGAGAAACUAUGAGUCACUUGGUUGUUUUCAGUAAGUGGCAGGGAGUUUAAAAAGAGAACGGAUAGCUACAUUCCAAAUCGCAAAAAAUGUAAAAAAUCAUAUGGGCAUGAAUAACAUUCAGCCACAAAUAUUUAUGAAGCUUCUGCUGUGUGCCAGACAAAAUGGCUGGGUAUUAGGACUAUGACAGUGAAGAUAACACAGCCCUUGCUCUCAAGGAUUUACAGUUGAUGAGAAAGGCAGACAAAUCCAGGAGGCAUUAUAAUCCACCAUGACAGCUGCUGAGCUCUUCUGUGGGAAUUUGCAGCAGUGGCACCCACAUAUGUGGGCAUUUGGAGAAAGUGGGGAAAGCUUCCAGGAGGAAAUGAUGUCUUAACUGGGACAGAAGCAAGAAGAGUCAGCCAGCUUGGAUCUCCUGACCUUGGCCUGGACCUGGAUCUGGGAGGCUGACUCUAUUGACCAUGGGGAAGGAGCUAACAGGAUUGAACCUCAGGACCGUCCUCUGCAAAAUGAGGAAUUUAGGCUAGCACAGUGGUUCUCAAAGUGUGGUCCCCAGACCAGCGACCUCAGCAUCGCCCUGGAACUAGUUAGAAAUGCACAUUCUCUGGUCCCAACCCAGACCUACUGAACCAGUGCCUCUGGGAGUGGAUCCCAGAAAUCUGUGUUUUAACACACGUGCUAUCUAGGAGGUUCUGAUGCAGGCCAAAGUUCGAAAACCGCUGAACUGGAAGAUCUCUAAAAUUCCUCCUAGGAGAUAAACCUUUAAGACUUGCUAUAAGAAUUAAGUGCCAUGAUUAUGGUGCAUAUUAUUUAUGAAACUUGUUCAAUGUGCCCUGCCCUUCCUAUUCAUUAUCUCUACAACCUCCUUCUAAAAUAAGUAUCAAUUAAAAGUAUUUUCCAAAUGAGCAAAAGGAGGCCCGGAGAGGUUAAAUAAUUCAUCAGGAGACACGCAGCUGGAGAUGAACAGGAGGAGGAUUUGAAUGGGAAGCCAUCUCAGUGUGCUCUCUCUACUACCUCCCAUGAGCAAACACAGUGACAAGUGAACUCAAUGAAUAUCAUUUUCCGGUGAUUCUGUGACCUUUGAGUACCUGCAUCCUCCUACCUUAACCAACUUUGCCAGCCUCCUUCACUGCCCUACCUGAUCGACAGUAAUUUCCAGCUCUCUUCCUUCCCCCAUGCUCAGCCCAACACCCAGCCCUGGCUUUCUCACCUUCCUGGGACCCCCUGCGUUCCACGGUAGUGAACAGAGACACACGACAGCCAUUCCGUGGAUCUACAGUGACUGUUCUCCUGGACACAGAGCCAACGUGGCUACUGAAGGAAAGAGGCCAGUCCUAAGUUCAGGAUCUGUGACGGCCUGGAAAAUGUACUCUGUCCCCCCACAACCUCCCGCUACAACCUCCCCCUAAAAGAAAAACUUUCUACAGGCCAGGGUCAAAGGAACCUAAUGUGAAAAUGUUUCAGUCUUUUGAUGAAGUAUUCCAGAACACAGAACUCCUUAUCAUACAGAACAUCAAGUUCCUUUAAGAUAUGGGUUGCUAUCUCCAAUUCAUUUUGGGAAGAGGCUACCUUCAUCCCCAAACAGGAACUGCUGCAAGGCCCGCAGCAGCCAUGGGUGAGUGGCUCUGGAGAUGGGGUAAGUGGCCUACGCACCCCAGAGGAACAGCUGGCAGCCUAGUCUUCGGGCAGCAGCUCCACUCAGCCCUGGGGAAUGACAGAUACAGGUGUGUUCCCUCAGACAACCAGUUAUGCCAGUGAAGUGCCCUAAACUAGAGAUAGCUGGGGCGCUGUCAGCCACCUUAACAGUGAGAAGAAGCAACAGGAUGAAGUGGAAACAGCGUCACACAGAUGGAGCCUCGAAUCCCAGCAUGCUAGCCAUGUGUCAUCUUCAUAGUCUUCCUAACGUCUGUGGCCUCAGAUGCCACAUCAGUAAAUGGCACACCAUAUGUGAUUUAGGCUAAGGGCCUGAGUGUAAUAGUUGCUUAGGAAUUAUAGCCCUUCUUAAAUAAAUGGAGAAACAGUCCAUGUUCAUGGAUUGGAAGCCUCAAUGUUAUUAAGAUGGCAAAUCUCCCCAGAGUGACCUGUAGAUGCAACACAAUCCCUAUCAAAAUCCCAGCAGGCUUUUCACUCCUUUUUAAUAAGGACACCGGUCAUAUUGUAUUAAGGUCCAUCCUAAUGACCUCAUCUUAACUCAGCUACAUCUGCAAACACCUUAAUCCAAAUAUGACAUUCUGAGGUACUGGGAUUAGGGCUUCAAAAUAUCUUUUUGGGGGAACACAAGUCAACCCAUAACAGAUAAUUAACACAAAUACAUGGAAAACUAUCCCAUAUUCAUGGAUUGGAAGUACUAAUAGUAUUUAAAUGUCCAUAUUACCCAGAGGUCUAGAGAUUCAAUGCAAUCCCUAUCAAAAUACCCAUAAUGUUCUUCACAGAAGUGGGAGUAAACAAUCUUAAAAUUCAUGUGGAAAUGCAAAAGACCCUGGAUAGCCAAAGCAAUCGAGUAAAAGGAACAAAGCUGGAGGUCUCACCACAACACAUGGUUAAGGAGUUAAAAUGGGACAUUUGAAACUUUAUAUUACUACAGAGUUUAAUGCAAGAUUCAUGCAGAUUUUUAAAAGAUAAACCACGACACGUCACAGGAAUAUCUAGCUUUUGAUAUGUCCCCAUGCCUUCCACAGGUACCCUCCUACAGCUCCCCUCCACUGUCCCCUCCCUAAGGGGGUACAAUUCAGCUCUUUUGCCCUAAAGAGCAUUUGGAUGGAAAGUUUGAGAUGUCCUAACA
RNAcentral lists this long non-coding RNA (2794 nucleotides) under Homo sapiens (human). Its description in RNAcentral is "HSALNT0024467". The record is from RNAcentral. Lineage: Eukaryota; Metazoa; Chordata; Mammalia; Primates; Hominidae.